AAACCAACAGGGAUUGCCCUAGUAACGGCGAGUGAAGCGGCAACAGCUCAAAUUUGAAAUCUGGCGUAAGCCCGAGUUGUAAUUUGUAGAGGAUGCUUCUGGGUAGCGGCCGGUCUAAGUUCCUUGGAACAGGACGUCAUAGAGGGUGAGAAUCCCGUAUGUGACUGGCUUGCACCCUCCACGUAGCUCCUUCGACGAGUCGAGUUGUUUGGGAAUGCAGCUCUAAAUGGGAGGUAAAUUUCUUCUAAAGCUAAAUACCGGCCAGAGACCGAUAGCGCACAAGUAGAGUGAUCGAAAGAUGAAAAGCACUUUGGAAAGAGAGUUAAAAAGCACGUGAAAUUGUUGAAAGGGAAGCGCCCGCAACCAGACUUUGCGGCGGUGUUCGGCUGGUCUUCUGACCGGUUUACUCGCCGCCGUGAGGCCAUCAUCGUCUGGGACCGCUGGAUAAGACCUGAGGAAUGUAGCUCCCUUCGGGGUGUGUUAUAGCCUCUGGUGAUGCAGCGCGUCUCGGGCGAGGUCCGCGCUUCGGCAAGGAUGAUGGCGUAAUGGUUGUCGGCGGCCCGUCUUGAAACACGGACCAAGGAGUCUAACAUCUAUGCGAGUGUUCGGGUGUUAAACCCCUACGCGUAAUGAAAGUGAACGGAGGUGGGAACUUUUUGUGCACCAUCGACCGAUCCUGAUGUCCUCGGAUGGAUUUGAGUAAGAGCAUAGCUGUUGGGACCCGAAAGAUGGUGAACUAUGCCUGAAUAGGGUGAAGCCAGAGGAAACUCUGGUGGAGGCUCGCAGCGGUUCUGACGUGCAAAUCGAUCGUCAAAUUUGGGUAUAGGGGCGAAAGACUAAU
Molecule: ribosomal RNA, 841 nt
Filed under: Pseudocercospora sp. ZJUM 135
Lineage: Eukaryota; Fungi; Ascomycota; Dothideomycetes; Mycosphaerellales; Mycosphaerellaceae
Description: eukaryotic LSU rRNA
Rfam family: Eukaryotic large subunit ribosomal RNA
Source: RNAcentral